AGAAUCAACGCUGGCGGCGUGCCUAACACAUGCAAGUCGAACGAGAAAGUGGAGCAAUCCAUGAGUAAAGUGGCGACCGGGUGAGUAACACGUGACUAACCUACCUUCGAGUGGGGGAUAACCUCGGGAAACCGAGGCUAAUACCGCAUAACAUCGCAAGAUCAAAGCAGCAAUGCGCUUGAAGGAGGGGGUCGCGGCUGAUUAGCUAGUUGGCGGGGUAACGGCCCACCGAAGGCGAAGAUCGGUA
RNAcentral lists this ribosomal RNA (247 nucleotides) under uncultured bacterium. RNAcentral's name for it is "partial small subunit ribosomal RNA". It matches the Rfam family "Bacterial small subunit ribosomal RNA", at positions 26 to 285 of the family's 1533-position model. The record is from RNAcentral.